This 386-nucleotide ribosomal RNA is filed under the name uncultured bacterium. Its description in RNAcentral is "bacterial SSU rRNA". It matches the Rfam family "Bacterial small subunit ribosomal RNA", at positions 29 to 416 of the family's 1533-position model. The record is from RNAcentral.
AUUAAACGCUGGCGGCAUGCCUUACACAUGCAAGUCGAACGGCAGCACGGGGGCAACCCUGGUGGCGAGUGGCGAACGGGUGAGUAAAGCAUCGGAACGUGCCCUGGAGUGGGGGGAUAACGUAGCGAAAGUUACGCUAAUACCGCAUAUUCUGUGAGCAGGAAAGCAGGGGAUCGCAAGACCUUGCGCUCUGGGAGCGGCCGAUGUCGGAUUAGCUAGUUGGUGGGGUAAAGCCUACCAAGGCGACGAUCCGUAGCGGGUCUGAGAGGAUGAUCCGCCACACUGGGACUGAGACACGGCCCAGACUCCUACGGGAGGCAGCAGUGGGGAAUUUUGGACAAUGGGCGAAAGCCUGAUCCAGCCAUGCCGCGUGAGUGAAGAAGGCC